RNAcentral lists this long non-coding RNA (290 nucleotides) under Marmota monax (woodchuck). Lineage: Eukaryota; Metazoa; Chordata; Mammalia; Rodentia; Sciuridae. The record is from RNAcentral.
GUCAGGCACUCAUUGUGCGGGAGGGGAUCUGGCAUAGAGGAUUUUGUGCAGGUUCACACCUAGUUCUGACCCCUUCAUUUGUUAGCUCUAAACCUUGAAGAAGUAAUUUUGAAUUCAAGGUAUCAAAGCUUCCUUUGCAAUUGAGAGCACAGGAUUGGUGAUCUUCCUGCGUAGAAUUCACUGACGGCUAUAUUUUUGGCAUACUGAAUAAUCAGGAGAUGCCAAAUUUCAUAUCUUAUUAUAGUAAAAUGGGACAAAUAAUGAGCAUCAACUGUAAACGUGCCUCUGUG